AUACGUAGGUGGCAAGCGUUGUCCGGAUUUACUGGGUGUAAAGGGCGCGUAGGCGGGUGUGCAAGUCAGGUGUGAAAUCCCUGGGCUCAACCCAUGAACUGCACUUGAAACUGCAUAUCUUGAGUAUCGGAGAGGCAAGCGGAAUUCCGGGUGUAGCGGUGAAAUGCGUAGAUAUACGGAGGAACACCAGUGGCGAAGGCGGCUGGCUGGACGACAACUGACGCUGAGGCGCGAAAGCGUGGGGAGCAAACAGGAUUAGAUUCCCUGGUAGUCCACGCUGUAAACGAUGAAUGCUAGGUGUGGGGGGACAGACCCCCUCCGUGCCGGAGUUAACACAUUAAGUAUUCCACCUGGGGAGUAUGGCCGCAAGGGGGAAACUCAAAUGAAUUGACGGGG
RNAcentral lists this ribosomal RNA (396 nucleotides) under uncultured bacterium. Its description in RNAcentral is "partial 16S ribosomal RNA". It matches the Rfam family "Bacterial small subunit ribosomal RNA", at positions 523 to 918 of the family's 1533-position model. The record is from RNAcentral.